Molecule: long non-coding RNA, 1371 nt
Filed under: Brachypodium distachyon (stiff brome)
Lineage: Eukaryota; Viridiplantae; Streptophyta; Magnoliopsida; Poales; Poaceae
Description: long non-coding RNA (BDIS_LNC002011)
Source: RNAcentral
GAGGAUUGGAGGAGAAGAUCUUGAUCUAGGAUUUCACCAAAGCAAAAGGUUGAUUCCCCUUGUAGAUUUUAUUACUCUUGGGAUUUUGGGAUCCCUAGCCGGAAGGUGUCUCCUCAAGGCCACUAAUCUUGUGCGGUGGUCUUGUGGAUUCAGAAAGGAGCCUCCAAUUAAGUUGUGGAGAUGUGUCCUUCUCCUCGGAUUGGGAGCUUCCAAUUAAGUUGUGGAGAGAGCCCCGGUCAAGUUUGUAAGGGUUGGCAUUCACUCUCAAGGAAGCCAUUAGUGGAGCUCACAUCGCCUUUGUGGUGUAGUGAGAGGAGAAUAGAAUGAGCCUUUGUGGCGUCUCUACUUUUGUGGUAGAGUACUCCUCCAAACGGAGACGUACACCUCACCAAAAGGUGGAAUUCUGGAGUCAAAUCUUCGUCUCCGCGUGUGGUAUAAUUCUUGCCCCUUUACUUACUUGCUAAGCUUAAUUGUUUAUCUUGUGCUUCGGCUAUCGCAUCAUACUAGGGGUGUUCAUCUUUUAGACGUUUUAGUGAACCCAUGUAUUGAUGCUUGUAUCCCUUAAAAAUGAAAAUAAAAAAUAAAAUUUGUUGGUCACCUAUUCAUCCCCCCUCUAGUCGACCAUACCGAUCUUUCACACGGGUCAUGUAGGGGCCUCCCUAUCCCGAGAUUCCCUUCUCGUCUCCUUUUGGCAGCCGCUCGUCUCCGGCCGGGCGCCUCGGCCUCCCCUGUUGCGGCCAACGGCCUCCUCCUCCUCCUCCUGGCCGCUGGCCGGCCGCCUCCUCAUCCUCCCUGUCAACGCUGGCCUCCUCCUCCUCCUCCUGGCCGUGCUCAAGGAAGGAUGUGCCGGCCUCCUCCUCUUCUCCUCCUCCUGGCCGUGCUCAAGGAAGGAUGUGCCGGCCUCCUCCUCUUCUCCUCCCAGCUGCCGCCUCCUCCUCUCGGGAACCUCCUCCUCCGCAGCGACAGCCGUGAGGACGGACGCAACCUCCAUCGUGGACGCCUGCCUCCUCCUCUGUGUAUUUUUGUAUUUGGUGGUUUUUGUUUUCUUUUUCUAAAAUUGGAUAUAAAUGGUGAACUGGAGUGAUGUGUGUUGAAAUUGGAUAAACAAAUGAUGAAAUUGGAUGUUUUGUGGUGAAUUUCAGAUAAAUUGAGGUGAAUUUGGAUGAAAUUGUUUGAAGGUGAAGAAAUAUGGGUUGUGAUUUUGGGUGUCUUGCUAGAGAAGAUUGCAAUUUUUUAGCCUCUAUUUAUCAGGGCCAGCCCCUACUUGUAAUUUUAGUGGUUCAAUUUAGAGUAAAGUCCAUUUUAAAACCCGUGCUUGUAGAGGUGGACACAAUCGAACCCUGACCUGCAAAUCCCUGAACUUAGCACCUU